Molecule: long non-coding RNA, 223 nt
Filed under: Phaseolus vulgaris (common bean)
Lineage: Eukaryota; Viridiplantae; Streptophyta; Magnoliopsida; Fabales; Fabaceae
Description: long non-coding RNA (PVUL_LNC003550)
Source: RNAcentral
UUAGCUAUGCACUGGGCAGUACCAUGCAUAAGUAACUUAGCCAAAAAGAGAGUCAGAAGCAGCGCCCAAGUCAAGGAGGCUCCAGAUGGUGGCACGUGUACGACUGGAUGCGAGCCACGUGUCCAGGUCUGUAACUGCCAGGAGAGAGAAAGUGACCAGGUAUAUAAGAGUUCUCAACAAACUUUCUGAGGUACGCACGUUCAGAUUACACUCUUUACGCUUG